AUUGAACGCUGGCGGCAGGCCUAACACAUGCAAGUCGAACGAGUGGCGGACGGGUGAGUAAUGUCUGGGAAAAUGCCCGAUGGAGGGGGAUAACUACUGGAAACGGUCGCUAAUACCGCAUACCAUCUGAUGUGCCCAGAUGGGAUUAGCUAGUAGGUGGGGUAACGGCUCACCUAAGCGACGAUCCCUCGCUGGUCUGAGAGGAUGACCAGCCAACUUGGAACUGAGACACGGUCCAGACUCCUACGGGAGGCAGCAUUGGGGAAUAUUGCACAAUGGGCGCAAGCCUGAUGCAGCCAUGCCGCUUGUAUGAAGAAGGCCUUCGGGUUGUAAAGUACUUUCAGCGAGGAGGCGUUACUCGCAGAAGAAGCACCGGCUAACUCCGUGCCAGCAGCCGCGGUAAUUC
This 406-nucleotide ribosomal RNA is filed under the name uncultured bacterium. RNAcentral's name for it is "partial 16S ribosomal RNA". It matches the Rfam family "Bacterial small subunit ribosomal RNA", at positions 30 to 526 of the family's 1533-position model. The record is from RNAcentral.